RNAcentral lists this ribosomal RNA (293 nucleotides) under uncultured bacterium. Its description in RNAcentral is "partial 16S ribosomal RNA". It matches the Rfam family "Bacterial small subunit ribosomal RNA", at positions 505 to 796 of the family's 1533-position model. The record is from RNAcentral.
GUGUCAGCAGCCGCGGUAACACGUAGGGGCCAAGCGUUGUCCGGAUUUAUUGGGCGUAAAGAGCUCGUAGGCGGUUCAGUCAGUUGGGUGUGAAAACUCCGGGCUUAACUCGGAGAGGCCACCCAAUACUGCUGUGACUUGAGUCCGGUAGGGGAGUGGGGAAUUCCUGGUGUAGCGGUGAAAUGCGCAGAUAUCAGGAGGAACACCGGUGGCGAAGGCGCCACUCUGGGCCGGUACUGACGCUGAGGAGCGAAAGCGUGGGGAGCAAACAGGAUUAGAUACCCUGGUAGUCC